GGUGAUAUUCUAAGAUCGAUUCAUCAGGUAGAUGAAAUGAUAGAAAGGGAAAAUGCGACCUCAACAUCUUCUAUUUAUCCUAGCUACUACCUCCAUACCGGAUUAAUUUUGUGAUAUAUAUCUUAUACUUUAUUGACCAAAUUAGUAGUCAAACUUGUUUCUCGAAGUGCGUAAUUGCCCAUUAAUCCGGUAUGGAGGUAGUAGCAUAAUUUGGUUCCUUCUGCUGAGUUAAUGAGGCCUUUUAAUGUCGUAUUUAAAGUUUUAAAUCGCCUUACUCACAGGUCACACCAUUCCAGACCACCACAAUAAAUGUAAUUGUGUGCUGAGUUAAUGAGUACGUAGCUGUAUAUAUACUGGGCUUUUUUUUGUGUGAAGGAGAACAGGUCAAUAAAUGAAAUUGUGUGCUCACACCAUUCCCACAAUAAAUGAGAAAUCGCCUGUACAGAGCUGUCCAUCUCCAACGACGACUCUAUUUAUACAUGCGGAAGGUUAGGCUUGCACAGAGAGGCGACAGUUUGCACUUUGCAGAGGGACUAGUGGAUGUCGAGAAGAACGUCGAGGCUCCCUCCCAGUAUUUCGUUUCUCCGGCCCAGAUUUAGGAUGAAGGCGGAGGUCCUGAAUUCCUCUUCUCCGAGAUGCACUUACUGCGCACAAAUGGCUUCUAGCGGGGUGGUUUGUUGAGAUUAGAUCUGGGGGUGAGAACGUGGACAAGAAUCAUACAAAUGGCUUUCAAAGAGGUGGUUUGCUGAGAUUAGAGCUAGGGGCGAGAACAUGGACAAGAUGCUCAAGCUAG
Long non-coding RNA from Lolium perenne, 793 nucleotides. RefSeq lists it as uncharacterized. NCBI's taxonomy places the organism in Eukaryota, Viridiplantae, Streptophyta, Magnoliopsida, Poales, Poaceae. The record is from RefSeq and is a predicted model, not a curated record.